Molecule: small nuclear RNA, 105 nt
Organism: Trichechus manatus latirostris (Florida manatee)
Lineage: Eukaryota; Metazoa; Chordata; Mammalia; Sirenia; Trichechidae
Source: RefSeq, a predicted model, not a curated record
GUUCUUGUUUUGUCAGCACACAUGCUAAAACUGAAAUGAUACAGAAAAGAUUAUCAUGACCCUUGUGCAAGAAUUAUAUACACGUUCUUAGUGUUUCAUAUUUUU